This is a long non-coding RNA of Anopheles funestus (African malaria mosquito), 4910 nucleotides long. RefSeq lists it as uncharacterized. The transcript has 3 exons. The record is from RefSeq and is a predicted model, not a curated record. NCBI's taxonomy places the organism in Eukaryota, Metazoa, Arthropoda, Insecta, Diptera, Culicidae.
GUUGAUGAAAAUUAAUGUAAACAUUGUGCAUCGUGAAUGCAGCGUGACAGCUCUGAGGUUGGCAAAGUAAUUCUACGUGUUUGUGUGUGUUGGUGCCAAGGCGUGAACGACACCAUCAUGACAGUGAUGGGCAGUUUUGGGGUUAAUAUGCGAUGGCAACCAACACGUUUUUCGGGUUGAGAAAACGAAAUUGUACAGUAUUAAUAAUCGAAACUCAUCGUUGCACUGUUAAAAAGUGCACCUUUCAACAGGUUUUUUUUGCUACUUGAAGUUGUAUCUAUCGCACCCUGCAGUAGGUCCGUAAAGUAGGUCACCGCAAGCAGUAGAGUGGCCUAUUUCGGUAUCUCCCUCCCCAAAAAAACACCACACUUAUGCUCCGUUGUUUUUGGGGUGGGGUGAAUUGCAUAGGAGAGCAUAUGUGUGGCUCAAAAUAACUGCCCAUCAAAUCUCUCUCUUUCACGGUGCGUACUUGCCGUGUGUUGUCGGUUGGAUUCGGUUCGUUUUCCUCAUAUCGGACAGAAGACGUUCAAUUUCUGCCUCAGCCCCACCUCAAAUAUUGCUACAUCUCAUCCACCCGGUAGUACCGGUUUUUCUGGCACAUGAGUCAACAACAACAAGGAGGAAAAAAUCACGCCCCGAAAAUAGUUGUUCCGGAGAAACAAGACUGAUUACGGGUUUAGUAGAGUUUGUGAUGAACCUGCGAUGGAUGUCACACCGAAGAGUAAAACCACUUGGAUCAACAAAGUACUCACACCUUGGGGGAAUUGAUAGGAAAAACUCGUCUAGUGUAUAUUGAGUGGAAGACUUUUUGGCCAAUUCGUUACAAACUGUAGCCAGCUUCCGACAUCCUUUCGGCAUCUUCAAUUACGGUCGAAAGGUGACCUCGUGAUAUUUUGUUGUUGUUUUCCGUUCGGUUUGCUCUCUUGCUUACCCGACUUGUUUCGGACUUCUGUUUUUCUUCCGCAAGAUCACACCGCCGUGUGUGUGUGUGUUUGUGUCUCAUUCGUUCAAAAGCAAAAUCCACCCAAAAACGAAAGGUUUCCCUUUCUCCCGAACGCAUACGUGCACCGCUGUCAAGUUGAUCGAGUUUCUUCACGCUGAAUCACCAAAACCGAAUCCCAUACGCGCUCUUUCUCUUUGUAAAGUAGCCGCUCUCCACGCUGGAACCGUGCCACACACUGAACGGGUUGGAAACCUUCGGAAGCCAAUGUCUGUUGAACGAAAGAAAAAAAAAUGGUAGAAGGGGUAAGAGAAAGGGAAAUUGGUUGUUUUUCACACGUGGUACGAUCGGUCACGAUGACGGCAAAUGUGUGUGUGUGUUUUCUUCUUCUUCUUCUUCUCCCAUCAAAAGGAAGGGGGGCUUUUCAUCGCUAAAACAACCCCUGCGCUCACAGGUGAGCGCGAAGAAAAGCUCCAUAACGGCUCAGUCUGCUUAUUGGACGCAACCGGGGAAGAAGCGAUCUCGGAUAUUCGGGCCCCCACACAUUGCUGGUGGAUCGUGACACGAUUCCGUUUUGCGUUGCGUGUGCGUUGGUAAACCAAACAAAAAAAUCUGCUCACAACAAGCUCCACCCGUUUUGUGUUUGUGCAGAUCUGUGUUGCGUGAGCUGAGAUGAGCCGUGAGUUGUGAGCCACAACUCGUGUCGUGUACAAAGUGAGCUAGUGAGUACGUUUAGUGUGAUGCUUAUUUUUAAGUUCGUUUCAUUUUCUUUCGGUCAUGUGAAAAUAGAAUUUCCCGUUUGUUUUUGCGCGUUAUUACGGAGAGUGCUUUUUUCCAGAUUUUAGUUGCAUUUGCCGCGAUUGGGCGAGUGUUGUCUUUGUUCCAAAAUAAAAGCAACAAGUGAGUGUGCAGAUAGCACUAGUGUGUGCGAGUGAGUGAGUGAUUGAGUGUGCCAAAAAUAAACAAACAUCGUGUGGUGUGGAUCGUUGCUCCAACGAAGCAGCGGCUGGGAAAAUGGGGCCGCUUAGAUUAUCUAUCUCCUCACUCACGGGUGCGUGUGUAUGUGUACGUUUCUUUCACCCCACAAACCCCCCUUUUCCCUUUAUGUACCCUCCAUAAUCACAGAGAGCUAUGUGCGUGUGUGUAUGUGAGUGGUUGGCUUGUAAAUUCGUAAAUAAAAGCCUUCCUCUUGAUCCCCCUUCCUUCUCCUAACCUCAUCCCCUUCCUUCCCUUCCAUCCCCCAACGCAUAUGGUCAAUGUAGGUCUGAGCAGGUUGCAACCUUCAUUUUGUGCGUUUGCUUCUGGCCCACUUGGUGAAGAGUGUUGCCCGCGAAUGCAUCAUGAGAGUAAACGCUUAACCGACAACAGGACGGUCCCUUAUUUUACGAGACGACGUUUUAGUGUUUUUUUUUUUUGCUGGGGCUGCUGGUGCGUGCUUUGGCGCGUUGUUAAACAUGUUUGCAUAUUUAUGCACCUGAAACAAAACGGCGCAUGCAAAACGUGUUCACUUGGUGUGAAUGUGACUUUUGCCGUUUCUACUAUCGGCUACCCCAAAAACGCGAUUUUGCUAGCGAUUGACGAGCAACAGCAAUUUCGUACAUUUCGUACAGUAGAGUUUAACGUUAAAACAAGCUCAAAUAAAAAUCCAAUCAAACUUCUUCAUCAGCACCAUAAUCAUCAUCGUGCUGCUUACUGCACCUUCAUCAAUCAUUCAAAACACUGAAACAGGCCAAGAACGACUGCCUGUCGGAUUCGCAUUUUUUUUUUGCCAUCGCGUGGCGUCUCAAAACUUUUGCAACCGAUAAAAACGGCACGGGGAGAGGUCGAAUUGGUGGAGGUUAAAUCUUGAAUUAAAAAAAAAAAUCCGCUUUCCGAAGGGUGCAAAUGGUUACAAGGAGAAAAUCUUCCAAUUUCAUCUUGCACAACCAUCCUGCUGGUGGAAAACUGACUCUUGAGCGAUCUUGGACCAAGGCGGGACACACUUUUCCUUGAAACUUCCACAGCCUUUCACGUGGUGGCGAUCCGCACUUGUCGAUGCUCUCAAAUGCCGAUGCGACAACGACGACGAAUCGGUACCGAACUGGUACCGGUCCAUUGACAGUUUAGUGGCCGGAAAGUAUGUGUGUGUGUACUAAAAAUAGCAAACCGCAAAAACCCGUGUGGGACGGAUAGCGAUUUUUCCCGUCUGGAAGCAUAUACUUGGGCAGGCGAGAAGAUAAAUACAACCGAAAUAUGUCACUCGACGGGGUGGAAAUUAAAUGUUGAGCCAAGAAAUGGCCGUUUUUCUGGCGUUCCUUCCCAUGCGGAAACCGGCAUGGGCGAUGGGCGUAUGGGCACCGUAACGCGGUGUGAAAGAAGAUAGAUGCGUAGGUGCGUUAGUGCUAUCGUUGCAAAAUUAUUUGAGGUGGAAAAAUUGGAAAAUCAACCACAAUCAACUGACCACCAGUCAAUCGAACGUCGUGUGAAGCGGGUGUAUGAUUUCUAAGAAUAUUUUCACCCCAACUCAGAUCGGUACUGAGCACGGUUCGGUUCGGUUUGGUUUUGCAGCGAAAGGAUGGUAAACCCCUAAAAUACUGUUCUCGGUGCAAGCAAGUGCAUUGUGCAAGUUGGUGCAGUGGUGUAUUAAAAUGUGUUUCCUUUUGUAAUCAAUUAUUAAAUGUAUUUUUUUGGCAUUUAUUUAUCAAGCUACAGAAUGUGUCAAGUGUAAGUGAAUGAAGUUAAAAACGUUAAAAAAAAGGAAAAAUAUUAUUGUCUAAUUAAAAGUUUCACUAUACUUUUCUGUGAAAAGUCAUCGUGUAGUUGAUAUAAAUCAGUGUAAAAAUAGUGUUAUUACAUAAAGUUUUAGUAACUAAAAUCACUUUUACGUCGUAGUGGAAAGUUGACCGAAAUGCAACUGCAACGAAUUUACUGUGUGCACUUUCAUGCUUCCAUUUUACGGUACGGAAGUUAAACCCAUAAGCGUAUACACCUACACGCGAAAAUCCUUGAAUCCUUGUCGUGGUUAUAAGCUUCCACCUUCAUCCAGUACCAAUAUUGGAUUCGAGAAGAUUUCAGAGUAUGCAGAGAAUAUAAAAUCCAGCUGAAUUUCCUUUAGCAACAUCAACUUAACCACCCUUAAAGAUAGGCUGUACGCAUUGAAGCGUAAUGAAAUGUCAAUUGACCCAAAACAAAACCGAAAGUUGGGCACAAUCAUAAUCACACAGGCGCACACACACACACACACACAUCGCGCUAUUUAAAAAUAGACGACAAGGUCAACGAAACCUGCUACCUGUCGCCCACCCUCCCCCAAGAGUGUUUUGCUGAUAAUGAUGAAGCCUUACAAAAAUCAAGAAUAAUAUGUGAACGGAUUUGUUGCUCCGGUUUUUCCUCAUUGUUUUUCCAACCCGUGUUUUCUGGGUUCUUCACUUAUUCGCUUUAAAUUGGCCAGUCGGAGACGAGAUCGCACUAACAAGCCGCGGAUCUUGCAGCGCCGGAAUAAAGAACAACCACAAGAACAGCGCGUGAAGAAUAACGCGAACACGAAUGCGAACGGCAAAAGGGCGACACACACAAAAGCCAACGAUAUUCAAAGACCUCCCCGGCCCCAGUUCCUUCAAACGGAAAACCGCUAGUCUCGUCGCAAACCGAGAAGUCAAUCAAUUUGGUUGUGUGCACAUACACACACACACAUUUAUAUAGAAGACCGACUGGUCGAAUGCGGAAAGACGAAGCUCAACGACACCGAAAGACCCGCUGAAGAAGCUGCCCUGUGCCUUCCCGCAUUCCAUCCCGCCGUGCCCCCCUACAAUCGAAUAGGGGUUGUUGGUACAGGUGCACCCCACACGCCUGUGCCGGCCGGUCAUCCGCCAUUCUACAACCCUUCGCAGUUUUCUACAAUUCUUCGCAGCCCCCCCCCCCCCUUUUCAGUCCCAACAGAGCACUAAAGUGGCCAGAAUAAUCCGUUCGGGAACCGAAGGUACGUUCCGAA